CGCUGUGCGAGGUGUAGGGACUUGCUCCUGAAGCUUUGCGCAGUCGCAGAUACCAGCUGGCUGCAACUGUUUAAUAAAAACACAGCACUGUGCAAACACAAAAGUGGACGUAUAUGGUGUGACGCCUGCCCGGUGCUGGAAGGUUAAUUGAUGGAGUUAUACGCAAGGAGAAGCUCUUGAUCGAAGCCACCAGUAAACGGUGGCCGUAACUAUAAUGGUCCUAAGGUAGCGAAAUUCCUUGUCGGGUAAGUUCCGACCUGCACGAAUGGCGUAAUGAUGACCAGGCUGUCUCCACCCGAGACUCAGUGAAAUUGAACUCGCUGUGAAGAUGCAAUAUACCUGCGGCAAGACGGAAAGAUCCCGUGAACCUUUACUAUAUCUUGAUACUGAACCUUGAGCCUUGAUGUGUAGGAUAGGUGGGAGGCUUUGAAGUGUGGACCCCAGUCUGCAUGGAGCCAACCUUAAAAUACCACCCUUUAAUGUUUGAUGUUCUAACCUGGGUCCGUAAUCCGGACUGGGGACAGUGUCUGGUGGGUAGUUUGACUGGGGCGGUAUCCUCCCAAAGAGUAACGGAGGAGAACGAAGGUUAGCUAAUCCUGGUCGGACAUCAGGAGGUUAGUGCAAAGGCAUAAGCUAGCUUGACUGCGAGAGUGACAGCUCGAGCAGGUACGAAAGUAGGUCUUAGUGACCUGGUGGUUCUGAAUGGAAGGGCCAUCGCUCAACGGAUAAAAGGUACUCCGGGGAUAACAGGCUAAUACCGCCCAAGAGUUCAUAUCGGCGGCGGUGUUUGGCACCUCGAUGUCGGCUCAUCACAUCCUGGGGCUGAAGUAGGUCCCAAGAAUAUGGCUGUUCACCAUUUAAAGUGGUACGCGAGCUGGGUUUAGAACGUCGUGAGACAGUUCGGUCCCUAUCUGCCGUGGGCGUUGGAGAAUUGAAGGGGGUUGCUCCUAGUACGAGAGGACCGAAGUGAACGCGCCAUUGGUGUUCGGGUUGUCAUGCCAAUGACAUUGGCCGGUAGUUACGUGCGGAAGAGAUAAGUGCUGAAAUCAUCUAAGCACGAAACUUGCCCCAAGAUGAGUUCUCCCUCGUCCCUAG
This 1095-nucleotide ribosomal RNA is filed under the name Candidatus Symbiopectobacterium sp. Chty_BC. RNAcentral's name for it is "partial 23S ribosomal RNA". It matches the Rfam family "Bacterial large subunit ribosomal RNA", at positions 1749 to 2825 of the family's 2925-position model. Lineage: Bacteria; Pseudomonadati; Pseudomonadota; Gammaproteobacteria; Enterobacterales; Enterobacteriaceae. The record is from RNAcentral.